Molecule: small nuclear RNA, 21 nt
Filed under: Arabidopsis thaliana (thale cress)
Lineage: Eukaryota; Viridiplantae; Streptophyta; Magnoliopsida; Brassicales; Brassicaceae
Description: snRNA_13702
Source: RNAcentral
UAAAUAGUAAGAAUCAAUGUU